GGCAUGCUAUACAUAUAGUUCAUGUAGUUUAGGAUCCUUUAUUAAACUUUGCAUGUGUGGCCAUGUCUUCGCGGAUACUUCGUGUAGCCAGCCAUCUUUUUUCCUUUGGAAAACUCGAAAAUGAACAGUUUUGAGUGGCGUCCCUACACAAGAACUGUGACAAACUGGAAGUUUCCUAAGUUUUACCCCGAGAAAGUGAUGUGUGUUACUGUUUUUCCGAGUCUUGAUGAAGAAUUUAUCUCCUUUGCUCGAUGCAUCAAAGUUUCUGAGCUUGUUGGCAUUAAGAAAGUGGAGCGUUACUUCCCAAAUAGAGUGGCUACACAGUUUGGAAUGCUUCAGGAUAUUCCUUCUUCUGUUGACAAGAACAACCUCUCACGGGAGGCAGCUUGGAAUGAUUACAAUAAGCCUAUUAAUGAUUUGGCAUUAAACAUUCCUUCCCGUUCUACAAUAUCUCGUGUUAGUACUCCGACGUUUUUCGAGUGAUGAGUGUUCUCCUUAUUAUUUCUUUUCAUGGCUAUUAGUUUUUUUUUUUUGUUAAAGAAAAUGAAGCGAAAAUUGAUCGAAAGGAUUGCUAGUGAUGUUUCAGAAAAACUCAAUGUUACACCGUCUAGGGAUUUUGAUGGCAUGGUUUGGCUAGAAAGCAAUUUUGAGUGAAAUGGAGUCUUUGCUAGAUUUAGAGAAUGAUGGAGUUAAGAUGGUUGGAAUCUCUGGUCCUACAGGCAUUGAUAAAAGUACAAUUGCCAAAGCUUUACAUAGUCGACUUUUAAAUAGGUUUCCGCAUACUUGUUUGAUGAACAACCUUAGGGGAAGCUAUCAUACGGGAUUUGAUGAGUAUGGUGUGAAGUUGCGCUGUCAAGAGCAGCUUCUUUCAAAGGUUCUGAACCUAAAUGGCAUUAGGAUAUUCCAUUUAGGUACGAUACAAGACAGACUACAUGAUCAGAAGGUUCUUACCAUUCUUGACGAUGUGGAGCUUCUAAAACAUGAGGCUUCAGUUGAUAUUAGGUGGUUUGGUGCUGGAAGUAGGGUCAUAGUGACCACUGAAAACAAAGAGAUUUUGUAGCAACAUGGUUUAUGGAUCUUGCGGAUGAAGUUGCAAGGAUUUGUGGCAAUCUUCUGUUGGGUCUUCAUGUCUUAGGGUCGUCGUUGCGAGGAAAGAGCCAGGCUGACUGGAAAGAUGAACUACCGCGGUUAAAAUAUUGUAUUGAUGGAAGAAUCGAGAGUGCGUUGAAAGUGGGCUAUGAAAGUUUACAUGAGAAAGACCAAGCUCUGUUUCUCCACAUUGCAGCCUUCUUCAAUUAUGGACAUUUUGAUCUUAUGACAGCCAUGCUAGCAAAAAUUAACUUGGAUGUUAGACUUGGGCUGAAAAUCUUAGCCAUUAAACAUCUCAUACAUAUAAAUUACGAUAGAGUGGUAAUGCACCGUUUGCUACAAGUAAUGGCUCCAAAAGUCAUUUCCAAACAAGAGCCUUGGAAACGCUAAAUUGUAAGUUUUCUGUUUGGGGGAUUUGCAUACCAUGUUUAUUUGUUGAUGUUUAAGCAUAUCAUCUAACCACUAACACCUUUAAUUUGGAAUAAUUAGUAAUGGAUCAACCAAAGGUAUAUCAUUUGACAUAGCAGACAUCGACGAAUUGAUGAUAAGCCAAAGGGCUUUUGAAAGAAUGUGCAAUCUUUUAUUUCUGAAAGUCUACCAUAGGUUCGAAUUCAGCAGUGUUUCCAAGAUUUCUUGAAGGAAGAAACAGACGGAAACAACAAUGUGGGAUCUGAAGAUGAAGAUAACAACAAUAAUCUAUGGGAUACACAUGAAACCGAUGAAUCGUCAGACAAAGAACAAGACGACGAUGAUAGUAUGGCUAGCAGGAGAUCUAAAUCUGAAUCGUGCAAAGCAUCCGACAAAGAAGACGAUGAAGCGUCCAAAGAAAAAGAUGAGGAUACCAUCGAUGACGGUGAAUCCGUAUCAAGGAAGCGCCUGAGGAAGACGACUACAAUUCUGAAGAGGGAAAUUCAAAAACGACGUUUAAAGAGAAAAAUGAGUUAUAAUCUGUCUUCAAGAAGUUUCCGUGCGCAUUGCAUUAUUGGAGCUUCCGAGCAGAAGAAAGCCAACUCCAUCGAAAGUCGAAACAUGCUUAGGAUUCAGCAGUUGAUGAGUUUGUGAUAUCCUCCAUGCAUUAGAUAUUUUGUAGAGACAAGUGAAGAAGAAGACUAAGAGUCGCCUCUAAAUGUUGGCGCGAGUCUUUAUCGAAGUUUAGCAUAUCUAGAAGAUCAGAAAAUUAUUUAUGGUUAUUGAUCCACACGACAUUUAGUAGCCGUAUGAGAGUAGACUGAUCAGUUGGUGUAACAUUGAUGCCACAAGAUAUAGAGACUGUUUACUUGUUUUCUUGAUUAUCAAUUUUUCUUUCUCAAGAUUAACUUUGUUUGGUAUAGGAGAAAAGCUGAAAAAGCUAGAGAAAGAGAAUUGGCAUCAAUAUUAUUGUAUGCACUUUGUUAUACGUCACAGGUACAAACUUUUAUCUUUGAAGUACAUUGGUCUUUCUCAAAGAAACCGAUACUUUAAUUUUCUUAUCUUUUUUACGUGGUGAAGUAAAAGAAACAGACAGUGUUUAAAGAAUUAGAGAAUUUACGGUGAA
RNA transcript from Arabidopsis lyrata subsp. lyrata, 2623 nucleotides. It is a transcript of the gene named disease resistance protein ADR2-like, with no coding region annotated. Lineage: Eukaryota; Viridiplantae; Streptophyta; Magnoliopsida; Brassicales; Brassicaceae. The transcript is spliced from 2 exons. The record is from RefSeq and is a predicted model, not a curated record.